AUUGAACGCUGGCGGCAGGCCUAACACAUGCAAGUCGAGCGGAUGAAGGGAGCUUGCUCCUGGAUUCAGCGGCGGACGGGUGAGUAAUGCCUAGGAAUCUGCCUGGUAGUGGGGGAUAACGUCCGGAAACGGGCGCUAAUACCGCAUACGUCCUGAGGGAGAAAGUGGGGGAUCUUCGGACCUCACGCUAUCAGAUGAGCCUAGGUCGGAUUAGCUAGUUGGUGGGGUAAAGGCCUACCAAGGCGACGAUCCGUAACUGGUCUGAGAGGAUGAUCAGUCACAAUGGAACUGAGAAACGGUCCAGACUCCUAAGGGAGGCAGCAGUGGGGAAUAUUGGACAAUGGGCGAAAGCCUGAUCCAGCCAAGCCGCGUGUGUGAAGAAGGUCUUCGGAUUGUAAAGCACUUUAAGUUGGGAGGAAGGGCAGUAAGUUAAUACCUUGCUGUUUUGACGUUACCAACAGAAUAAGCACCGGCUAACUUCGUG
RNAcentral lists this ribosomal RNA (484 nucleotides) under uncultured bacterium. RNAcentral's name for it is "partial 16S ribosomal RNA". It matches the Rfam family "Bacterial small subunit ribosomal RNA", at positions 30 to 507 of the family's 1533-position model. The record is from RNAcentral.